Molecule: long non-coding RNA, 4984 nt
Filed under: Podarcis lilfordi (Lilford's wall lizard)
Lineage: Eukaryota; Metazoa; Chordata; Lepidosauria; Squamata; Lacertidae
Source: RNAcentral
GUUUGAUUCACUUGAGGGUGGGCAAUGAAAGGUGAGGAGUGAGAGAGAAUUUGUGAUAUAGCAAGUUUACUUGGAGUAGGAAAGGAACAGUUGUUAAUGGUGAUGCCAAGAAGUGCCACUGCCAUCACAGAGAUCAGAGCUGCUGAGGAUAUAAGCAUAUGAAGCUAGGAGAGGGUUGGAGAGGCUUAAGAGAUGAUUGAAGUGGCUGCCAGCUGCGAUUUCCUAUUUGCCAAGGACUAGACCUGGAAAUACUGAACUAUGGACCCUCCUCUUAAGAAUCAACAUGGCCUUCUUCCAAGGUAAAACCUGCAUUUUAGACUAGCUUUGGGGGGGGGGGUACAUUAUUGAUGCCUGUGGCAUGUGGUGACAUUUUCCAUAGGCGAAAAAUUAGGGCCAGAGGUGCCAGUGAUUGCAGGGAGGAAACGUAUGUGAGCAUCACGCCUCCUUCUCAAAGCUGGGCUUUUUGGGAAAGUGGCAGAAGAGCUCUUGGGCCCCCUUGGAGAAUCAUACCUCUCUCCCUACUCUAAUUUACUGGGAAUCUUUAGGAGACUAGCCUAGUCCCCCUAGUCCACUGACCACAAGCCACUGAUCAAUGCUGAUGUUGUAAUAGUUUAUCAGAAGAACACUUCCACAUGAGUUUGGCCAGAGUCUUGAAGAAGUCCUUUCUCUUUCGGGUGGGGAUCACAUAUGGUUUGCUACAUAUGCUAACCAGCCCUAUAUGAACACCCCCAGCCUAUCCCUGCAUAUUUGUAAUGAUGUGGAUUUCAGAGAGUAAGAGACAGAGAGGUGGUGAAACAACAUCUGUUACUGGUUCAAUUCAUUGUUAGCUGAGUUAUUGUUGCGAAUUAGCCACAGCCUAGUGAAGAAAGACUGCAAUUAUGGCUGAUCUAUGAAGUGCUUUUUUUUCCCCUAAAAAAAAUGUUUAGGUGUAGUCUCAUUUUAACUCAAGAAAAUCACCAUGUUAUUGUUCAAAACAGGAAAAAUAAAUACAGUAAAUGGACAAAAGUACAAAGAUUCACAAAAUGUUUAGGGGUAUGCAUACCUCUGUGUAUCCCCAGAAAAAAGCACUGGAUCUAUGUAUUGUAUUUCUAGAUUUCAGCAUGCUUUAUAAUGUAAUAGAGCAUUGCUUAGCUUCAGUCAUUCAAAGCACUUUUAGCCCACUCUUCGGUUAAAAAGUCUCCCAGAGCAGCUCACAAAGAUGAAAAAUAAGACAGUGCCUACCCUCAGUCCUACAGUCCAAAAGAUGCAACACAAAAAGGAAAAAGGACUUGAAGCGCAGAGGGGAAAGAGCAUACUCAGGCAAGUUCUUAGUUACAAUAUGACACUGCCACUCCCAGAGCAAAUGGACUUGCUGUGAACAGAAGCUUCAUUCCUUAUACUGUAUACUUAAAUCCUUGUGGUAUAGGUGACCAGCAAGACAAGGUUAAACAAAAUCAUUGCCAAGGUGGAGGAGGGGGAAGUGCUCACUUUAUAAAAUUAAACUUAUAAAGUGAUAAGAUCUAUCUGUACCAUUUUCAAAAUUAAAUAUAAAAUAUUUCAUUAUACAGUGUGUGUCCAUGAAGAAUGGGACCUGUUUUGUGAACUUGUCCUGGGUCUGGUGUGUGGCUCGGAAAAUGAUGAGAGAUACGAUGUCACCUAUUCUCUGUGCAAUAAUAGAUCUGUCGGAGUAUGACACAUAGAAUUAGACUUUCUGCUGUGAUUAAUCAAGUCCACUCAAAGUAGAAAUGCUACCAUCUCACACUAUUGCAUGAAACCAGUAGGGUGCAAUAUAUUCAUGAAAAAGGCACUUGGAAAACUGCAGUGGAAGCCAUUAUCUUCUGCACUGUAAGGCAUUUUGCCUCUGGAAAAUAUCUUACUACUGCUACCAACAUUUAAAUUGAAAUUAAGAAGCAAAACUCUGUGUUGACUUGAGUACAAUUCUAUAUAACUUUCUGCAGAUUAAGAGAGACGUAAGAACCGAUAGUACUUUCCAGAUUUGGCUUUCUUUUCAACCUUUUUCCUUCCACUUCUUAAGAUAUUUCAAAGUUAUUUCAAUAAGAUCAAUAAGAUCAUCGUAAUAAUAAGUGUAAUUCUACCAGCCUUUUGGAGAAAGCUUGGAUGAAUUAGCCAUUUAUCUUCACUAUAAAACACAUAGAUGGUCACUAUGAUCCAACUAAUUGUUUAUCUAAAAAAUAUGUAUUAUUCUUAUUCUUAUUCUUAGGGCUUCUUUCAGUUGGAACUCACCAGAACUCAGUUCUGGCACCUCUCAGGUGGGUGCCAUUGUCAUUCUAAGAGAACAAGGGAGGCUUUUAUGGUGAAUUCUGACACCUCUUGAUGAUUAAUUCUUUUACAUCUGUUUUUAUCCUAGGGGCUUAGAGCAUCUUACAAGUUCCUCCCCCCUCUUAUUCUCACAACAGUCCUGCAAGCCAAAUUAUGGGGAUAAAGACUGACUAACCCAAGAUGUCCUAGUGAGAUUCAUAGCUGAAUGGGAUUUGACCCAGGAUGCUUGUUCCCAGUCUUAAGCUGGGCACUCUGAUCGCUGCCAUAUGUGGGAAUGGGGAUGUACAUUUAAAAGUGCCAGCAAACUGCUGUUAGGAAGCUCAAAGGGCAACAAUCCAUGCCACCUUACUGGCCUGGCCUGUCUUAUAUACACACACAUACAUGGUAGCGACUUAAAAACAGCAUGGUGUCAUCGUAUCAGGAAAAUCCUUGUGUGGUUGCAGCUAUAUACACAUAUGCUGGCUUCAGCCAUAAAGCAUGUUUUCCCAAGCAUUGCGAAAACUAUGAAAAUCUUCUCAGAGCAUGUGCUACAAUGCAGGCUAAUGAAAAUGUUCACUCAAGUACCACCAGCCCACCUGCUUUCAGGAUAAAGCUGAUUCUGUAAUACAUGGGAGCCAAACUCCACCGCAGGUUUAGGCAUGGUGAAAUAGUUUCAGACAAUAGUUCGGCUUAUUUCUUAGAAAAAGCACAUGUGCUCUUGUGGGGGUUUGGCAGGAAUAAAUUUAGAAGAAAAGCUGCUCUAUUUAAAACCUGUAGAAAAGAAAAGAGGACAAGAGGAUAGACUCAGAUAAGCCAAACACAAAACAGGCAGGUGCCAACAAUGAUCGUCUUUCUUGCGGCCUUCCAUAAGGACUCCAGCUGCUAUCAACCUCAACCAGUAUGGCCUCCAACUCACAUCAACCUCAGUCAGGGAUGAAGGUAGUUGGAAUCCAACAGCAUCUGGAGGGCUGCAGGUUGCCCAUCCUUGCCUUUACAACUUGUGAUGCCUUAAAAAAAACACCCCACAGCUCACUCGUCACCCGAAGUGGUUGGUGGGAAGAGGUGGGGUGCACAUCUGUCCUCCCUGCAGCUGUGGCAUUGCUACCACUUAGCAGGAGGGAGGGGUGCAGUGGAGAAGUCAGCAAUGUGUGGGCCCACUGGUGGUCAAUCUGGAACUCCAGCUGCUGCGCCUGCACAGCACUGAUCUACCUACCACCUUGUUCUUCUCGUUUUGCUGCCUGCCUGGGACAGUAAAAACAAGGAGGAGGGGCGAUAGAUCAUGACUGAAUGACUGGCUGUGAUUACAGAUUGUGCAGAUCUGCUUUAAUGUUUACAUCAAGAAUGCAUUUUAACGAAAUGGGGAUAUCGGAAGCAAGGAUACAGAGAGUGAUGGUAUCAGUACUACAACGUCCUAUUGAUUAAAAUGUCUUAUGAGGGCAAGCUGCUAUAUAAAUUCUUUUAAAAGUUCAUUGUAUUCAGUGAAUAACCUACUGAAGCCGAGUUACAUGACCCUUAUGAGAUAUAAGCCAUUAUCAGCAUAGGGCCUCAAAAAAGAUGACACCAGGCUAGACCCAUGGCAUUUUCUACCUAUUUUCCAUCAACAGGACACCCUGCAUUUGGACUGUCCCCCCCCCCUUCUCUCAAGCAAUCUCUUUCUGUGCUUCAGUGUUCCUUGCAGUCCUGUGCUCACCUGAACCUGGCUGUGCCAUUGCCUAGUUAGCACACUCUUCAAGGUGAAUUACUAAGCCAAAUGACAUAAUGAACAAGAGACGAUGACGCCAAGGAAAGUUAUUGAUUUAUGAGCAUCUUUGCCAAAGCACUGUGACCUUCCUUCUAAGUUUUAUUUUGGAAUGUGCCAUCAGGAGUGUAAACAGUGGGAAAUGGCUGAGGGAAGGGAAGAAAAAGUGCAUCGAUCUCCAUAUUGGGGGGUGUGGCCUGUCCUCUCCUCAACAACAGUACUUUCUUUUGCUACUCAGACUCUUGGCUUUCAUUUUAUAUGCAACCAAUAUAAAUAAUUAUAAAGCUCAGAAAGGUCCAGUUGACUCAUUCAGCCUCGAGGAGUAGUGACACCAGUGAUAAGGGUAUAUCAGCAUGACAAACUUCUGUUGGUUUUAUACCAAUCUGUCAUGGCUUCCUCGCCGCAUGCCCACUUAACUGAAACUUCUGUUGCCAAGGAACUUGGGGUAUAUGCAUUUUGUUGGACAAUUUGCAAGGACUUGGCCUUCUUCUGCAAUUUCAUAAUGAUUCCAUGAGCUGUCAAAUGCUCUGUUCCUUCUGUUCGGAAUGGAGAGGUAGUGGGACUGCAACUUUCAUACUCGUGCAUAUAUUAUUGACCCAAUGCUAAGCAAUUAUUGUUUUCAAAGGGAGAAGGCCCCAAAUGUGCUUCAUUCUCCCAUCAAUAUCAAUGGGAUUUUAAUGGACCUCAAUGGCUUUCAAAAUAAAUUGCUGUAGAUAUGCUGCAUGAAAAUGACUCAUUACAUGAAUUGACUCUUCACUGUUUGGUUUGCUGGAAUGUUAACAAUGUUGUUGUGAACACUGUGAAAUUUUUUUAUUAAGGAGACCAUUUGGCCAUAAAGCAUUCACUAAAAUAAAUUGUACUUUCACCCAAGGUUUAUAAAUAUACAUAUUUGCAUACAGUACUUUUCUUCUAGAAAAAAGGUACUGGUACUACGUAUCCUUGAGUACCCCCCAGGAAAGAAAAGCACUGCUUGAAUAAAUAAAUAUGUUAAAAUGCAAUAAAACUCAG